RNAcentral lists this ribosomal RNA (1017 nucleotides) under uncultured bacterium. Its description in RNAcentral is "bacterial SSU rRNA". It matches the Rfam family "Bacterial small subunit ribosomal RNA", at positions 355 to 1375 of the family's 1533-position model. The record is from RNAcentral.
UGAGGAAUAUUGGUCAAUGGACGAGAGUCUGAACCAGCCAAGUAGCGUGAAGGAUGACUGCCCUAUGGGUUGUAAACUUCUUUUAUACGGGAAUAAAGUGGAGUAUGCAUACUCCUUUGUAUGUACCGUAUGAAUAAGGAUCGGCUAACUCCGUGCCAGCAGCCGCGGUAAUACGGAGGAUCCGAGCGUUAUCCGGAUUUAUUGGGUUUAAAGGGAGCGUAGGCGGGUGCUUAAGUCAGUUGUGAAAGUUUGCGGCUCAACCGUAAAAUUGCAGUUGAUACUGGGCGCCUUGAGUGCAGCAUAGGUAGGCGGAAUUCGUGGUGUAGCGGUGAAAUGCUUAGAUAUCACGAAGAACUCCGAUUGCGAAGGCAGCUUACUGGACUGUAACUGACGCUGAUGCUCGAAAGUGUGGGUAUCAAACAGGAUUAGAUACCCUGGUAGUCCACACAGUAAACGAUGAAUACUCGCUGUUGGCGAUACACAGUCAGCGGCCAAGCGAAAGCAUUAAGUAUUCCACCUGGGGAGUACGCCGGCAACGGUGAAACUCAAAGGAAUUGACGGGGGCCCGCACAAGCGGAGGAACAUGUGGUUUAAUUCGAUGAUACGCGAGGAACCUUACCCGGGCUUAAAUUGCAGCGGAAUGUAGUGGAAACAUUACAGCCUUCGGGCCGCUGUGAAGGUGCUGCAUGGUUGUCGUCAGCUCGUGCCGUGAGGUGUCGGCUUAAGUGCCAUAACGAGCGCAACCCUUAUCUAUAGUUACUAUCAGGUCAUGCUGAGGACUCUAUGGAGACUGCCGUCGUAAGAUGUGAGGAAGGUGGGGAUGACGUCAAAUCAGCACGGCCCUUACGUCCGGGGCUACACACGUGUUACAAUGGGGGGUACAGAAGGCAGCUACCUGGCGACAGGAUGCUAAUCCCUAAAACCUCUCUCAGUUCGGAUUGGAGUCUGCAACCCGACUCCAUGAAGCUGGAUUCGCUAGUAAUCGCGCAUCAGCCACGGCGCGGUGAAUACGUUCCC